This is a non-coding RNA of Coffea arabica (coffee), 883 nucleotides long. NCBI's taxonomy places the organism in Eukaryota, Viridiplantae, Streptophyta, Magnoliopsida, Gentianales, Rubiaceae. The record is from RefSeq and is a predicted model, not a curated record.
AAGAUAAAGGCUCUAAAGUUUUCGCCACGUCCCAGCAGAAUAGCAACGCAAGAAGAAUAAAUGGUGGAUAGACUUAAACAGCCAUUGAAUAGAGGAGACAAGCUUCAUCAACCAUUACUCUUCAGCUUCUCAAUCUAUCUGUUGUGGAUCUUGCGGUCUGGGUUGUGGAACCGAACCGAAGUCUUGCGGACCAAAUGUGGGAUCUUGAACUUGAGUUGGGUUUGAUGAGGUAAAUGAGAUAAACUUAGAGUUUGCAUAGACGGUGUCUUGAGCCUCGUGAUCGUACUCAACCCAUGAUGAUGAAGAUGAUGAUGUUGGUAAUGGUGGAGCAGAGGGCUCAUAUGGCGGACAGUAAUAUUGGUACUGACAAUGGCAUGGUGGUGGUGGUGGGUUAUCAAUGAACAAUGCCUUCUUCUUCUUCUUCUGCUUUCUUGACCAGAACUUGAGCUUCUUCACGGCCUUCAUCAUCUUCAUGGCUGGCCUUCUUGUUUUUCGUGGAGAAAAUGAAAAAAGUCCACUGGUGCUGUAUUGUUCAGCGGAAUCUUGUAAGUUGAUUUAUUCAAAUAGAAGAGAUAACUUGGCUGUGGCAAAGUACGGAUCUGGAAGUGGAAGCGAGAUUUGAUAGUCUUACGGAGGACACUUGACAAAGCAUUCAAAGACAGAGAAGUUAAAAAACUUCUGCAACUCUCACCAGCUCCUUUUUCAUGAGUCCUGAAGCCGUCGGAAAUUAACUUCAGGAAAAUUGUUGUGGAAGUCAUUUUCCACCCGGUGGCGUGAAAACAUUUUCCAGCUGAAAUAAUUUUCCAACCUCUUUUGCUUCCAAACACCAGAAAUUCUGGAAAACCUUUUCGGGAAAAUAUUUUCAGUCCAAACAAACAUACCC